Molecule: long non-coding RNA, 2042 nt
Organism: Esox lucius (northern pike)
Lineage: Eukaryota; Metazoa; Chordata; Actinopteri; Esociformes; Esocidae
Source: Ensembl
AGCAGUUGUGAUGUGUGUUUAGCCCUAAUCUAUGUCUGUGAGUGUGUGCUUGUGUUGGUACAUUAGUUGAUAUUGUGAACUGAGACGAUUACACAUCACCAAAGGAUUGUAGAGCUUUCACUUUCCAAAUGGCACAAGCCAUUAUGUCACAGCCAGGGCUUUCUGGGGGAACUUAACCACGGAGUGGGGGGUUUCCACUGUAGUGUGGAGGGGGAGCACAACACUGUGUCAUAUUCCAGGUUUGUGUGUUCAUCAAAGCGUGUGACAGCAUUGAGUUCAGCAUUGUACGAUAGACCCCCCUAAAAUAUCUGACUGAUCCAGUUGUAUCACACCAUCUAAGUCCACCGUUCAGGGCAACAUAACAAGGUUGUAUGAUUUAUAUCAAGCUCCUCUCGGUAUCAGGAUGAAGGUGAUUGAGGAUGACUUAGGGAGUCGGUUCAGGUUUGCUGAGUCAUGUGUGGGAUUGACAGGGUGUCUCUGCGUGGCCUACUCUGUGUGGAGCUCUCGCUGGCUCUGGGACACGGGACUAUGGACUUUAGGGAAUAACAUCACCAGCACAGACCAUGACAUUGACCAGAGUGACAUUAUCUUCAACGCUCUAGAGGCAGAGCAAGUAUUUGCUGUGCUGUCCUUCCUCAUGGCUCUGAGUUCAGGAGCUCUGUGUCUUAUGUUCGCCCUCUGCUGGACAUCUCAGACCGUGCGCUCCUUCUCCAACAAUCGCUCUUUGCUCAUGGCAGGCCAGGCACUCAACCCGACUGUCCUGCUGCUCCUCACUCUUGGACCCACAGGUUUCUUCUUCCUCCUCAGCUGGUCCAUCUUCACCUACCAGCAUUGGAUGGAAAUCAGUAGUGACAUCACCAGCCUGGGUUCCUCCUAUUGGCUUGGCGCCCUGGGCUGGGCCCUGCUAUUGGUUGUUUUCCCAGUGGUGUUCCUGGUGGAGCAGUGUGUGGUCCCUGACAUCAUGCCGAACCUCAUGAAUGCUGCCGAUGGCUGGCUCCGCACCUCCCCGGUUCCAUAUGCUGAGCGCCCAUUCAGCCAGAUUCAUCAGCAUUGUGACAUGGAAAGGGGGCUGAAGAGGUGCAUGUCUGUAACAUGAGACAAGGAAUGGAUAAAACAGGGAUGAAGUGAAACCUUCGGGUUUCAAGUCUGAGCAGAAUGCAGGACUGAACUGGACAGGUCAGGACUUAUGGAAGUCUGUGUUUACUCUAGCAGUUUACAUAAGGAAGUCAGAAUCUGCACCCUACCAGCUUUGAGGCAUUAGUGAUUAUAUGAAUAUGAUUAUAUUCAUUUCACCUGGGAGUGGGCAAUUUCUCUAUCAGAGUCUUCUCCAGUGGUCACAAACUGUCCUCAUCUGGAAAGCAUGGUGAGCAAGGACUUUUAAUCUAAACGUAAAUUCUCCACCAGCUUGUGUUAUUCCUCACUACAAGCAGAUACUAGAUGUUGUUAUGCCUCACCACUGUGCUAGCUGUUAUGUCACACCUCUAUACAAGGUGUUGUAAUGCCUCACUACUGUACCUGCUGUUGUUAUGCCUCACCACUGUGCUAGCUGUUAUGUCACACCUCUAUACAAGGUGUUGUAAUGCCUCACUACUGUACCUGCUGUUGUUAUGCCUCACCACAAUAAAAGUGUGACUUUUAUUUUAAUUUAUGAAAUAAAUGAGUGCUGAUAAUGUGUAACCGCAUAAAAUACUCUGCUCUGUUUAACCAGUAUAUCUGCUUAAUGCCAGGUGUCUUCCUGGCACCACAAAUGUGUCCCGAGCCAGCCCUGUCAGUGCCAAGCCACUGAAUAGACAUCCCACAGCACAGGCUCAUUAUUACAUCUCCCUUAUAGCAAUAGCACCAUCACAUCCAGUACUGCUGACUCAUGGCUGCCAUCUCCUCUGCACUGCCAAGCCACUGAAUAUCAGUCCGUAUUGUCUCGCCUCCCUUCUUUCUGUCUCCAUUAGUGUCUUACUUGCCCAAGUGGAUCAGUGGAGAGGAAGGGGUGGGCUGUCGUCCUGCCCCAUGUUUACAUCCUGCUGAUCCUUGUUAAAUAAGGGGAG